AAGUCGUAACAAGGUUUCCGUAGGUGAACCUGCGGAAGGAUCAUUACCGAGUGAGGGCCCUCUGGGUCCAACCUCCCACCCGUGUUUAUUUUACCUUGUUGCUUCGGCGGGCCCGCCUUAACUGGCCGCCGGGGGGCUUACGCCCCCGGGCCCGCGCCCGCCGAAGACACCCUCGAACUCUGUCUGAAGAUUGAAGUCUGAGUGAAAAUAUAAAUUAUUUAAAACUUUCAACAACGGAUCUCUUGGUUCCG
RNAcentral lists this unclassified non-coding RNA (251 nucleotides) under air metagenome. RNAcentral's name for it is "partial contains small subunit ribosomal RNA, internal transcribed spacer 1, and 5.8S ribosomal RNA". The stretch from base 1 to 46 matches the Rfam family "Eukaryotic small subunit ribosomal RNA", at positions 1786 to 1831 of the family's 1831-position model. The record is from RNAcentral.